AGAAUGUCGCGGUGAAUACGUUCCCGGGUCUUGUACACACCGCCCGUCACACCAUGGGAGUCGGGAAUGCCCGAAGUCAGUGACCCAACCUUUGGAGGGAGCUGCCGAAGGCAGGUCUGAUAACUGGGGUGAAGUCGUAACAAGGUAUC
Molecule: ribosomal RNA, 149 nt
Filed under: uncultured bacterium
Lineage: Bacteria
Description: partial 16S ribosomal RNA
Rfam family: Bacterial small subunit ribosomal RNA
Source: RNAcentral